UGUUCCCGAAAUUUUUUUUUGCAACAGAGUUUGAUCCUGGCUCAGAACGAACGCUGGCGGCAAGCUUAACACAUGCAAGUCGAACGGACCUAGUUUAUAGCUUGCUAUAAACUAGGUUAGUGGCAGACGGGUGAGUAAUGCAUAGGAAUCUACCCAGUAGUACGGGAUAGCCACUAGAAAUGGUGGGUAAUACUGUAUAAUCCCCGCGGGGGAAAGAUUUAUCGCUAUUGGAUGAGCCUAUGUUAGAUUAGCUAGUUGGUGGGGUAAUGGCCUACCAAGGCUGUGAUCUAUAGCUGGUCUGAGAGGAUGAUCAGCCACACUGGAACUGAGAUACGGUCCAGACUCCUAUGGGAGGCAGCAGUGGGGAAUAUUGGACAAUGGGCGCAAGCCUGAUCCAGCUAUGCCGCGUGAGUGAGGAAGGCCUUAGGGUUGUAAAACUCUUUCAGUAGGGAAGAUAAUGACGGUACCUACAGAAGAAGUCCCGGCAAACUCCGUGCCAGCAGCCGCGGUAAUACGGAGGGGGCAAGCGUUGUUCGGAAUUAUUGGGCGUAAAGGGCAUGUAGGCGGUUUGGUAAGUUAAAAGUGAAAUGCCAGGGCUCAACCUUGGAGCUGCUUUUGAUACUGCCAGACUAGAGUCCGGGAGAGGAUAGCGGAAUUCCUAGUGUAGAGGUGAAAUUCGUAGAUAUUAGGAGGAACACCAGUGGCGAAGGGGUUCGGCCCGGAAAAAAAAAAAAAAAAGGGGGGG
This 745-nucleotide ribosomal RNA is filed under the name Anaplasma phagocytophilum. RNAcentral describes it as "partial 16S ribosomal RNA". It matches the Rfam family "Bacterial small subunit ribosomal RNA", at positions 1 to 765 of the family's 1533-position model. The record is from RNAcentral. Lineage: Bacteria; Pseudomonadati; Pseudomonadota; Alphaproteobacteria; Rickettsiales; Anaplasmataceae.